RNAcentral lists this non-coding RNA (184 nucleotides) under Pseudo-nitzschia pungens. The record is from RNAcentral. Lineage: Eukaryota; Bacillariophyta; Bacillariophyceae; Bacillariales; Bacillariaceae.
AGAUUCUGAUCAAUAGAACUCCUCGACCGCUCUUCUCAUAACUGCACCAAAUCGAACAAUUCAAUAAUUUAUACACCAUGAAGACCGCUAUCCUUGCCUCCCUCAUCGCCGCCGCUGCCGCCUUUGCCCCUGCCCAGCAAAAGGCCUCCAGCACUUCCUUGAAGGCCUUCGAGGAUGCCCUCGG